AUUGAACGCUGGCGGCGUGCCUAACACAUGCAAGUCGAGCGCUCAGCGGACGGGUGAGUAAUGUCGGGGAAACUGCCUGAUGGAGGGGGAUCACUACUGGAAGCGGUCGCUAAUACCGCAUACCAUCAGAGGUGCCCAGAUGGGAUGAGCAAGUAGGUGGGGUAAAGGCUCACCUAGGCGACGAUCCCUAGCUGGUCUGAGAGGAUGACCAGCCACACGGGAACUGAGACACGGUCCAGACUCCUACGGGAGGCAGCAGUGGGGAAUAUUGCACAAUGGGCGCAAGCCUGAUGCAGCCAUGCCGCGUGUGUGAAGAAGGCCUUCGGGUUGUAAAGCACUUUCAGCGGGGAGGCGUUACCCGCAGAAGAAGCACCGGCUAACUCCGUGCCAACAGCCGCGGUAAUUC
Molecule: ribosomal RNA, 406 nt
Filed under: uncultured bacterium
Lineage: Bacteria
Description: partial 16S ribosomal RNA
Rfam family: Bacterial small subunit ribosomal RNA
Source: RNAcentral